Molecule: ribosomal RNA, 467 nt
Filed under: uncultured bacterium
Lineage: Bacteria
Description: partial 16S ribosomal RNA
Rfam family: Bacterial small subunit ribosomal RNA
Source: RNAcentral
GACGAACGCUGGCGGCGUGCUUAACACAUGCAAGUCGAACGGAAAGGCCCUGCUUGCCGGGUGCUCGAGUGGCGAACGGGUGAGUAACACGUGGGUGAUCUGCCCCUUACUUUGGGAUAAGCCUGGGAAACUGGGUCUAAUACUGGAUAGGACCAUGCUGUAGGUGGUGUGGUGGAAAGAUUAGUUUCGGUAAGGGAUGAGCUCGCGGCCUAUCAGCUUGUUGGUGGGGUAAUGGCCUACCAAGGCGUCGACGGGUAGCCGGCCUGAGAGGGUGGACGGCCACAUUGGGACUGAGAUACGGCCCAGACUCCUACGGGAGGCAGCAGUGGGGAAUAUUGCACAAUGGGCGCAAGCCUGAUGCAGCGACGCCGCGUGGGGGAUGACGGCCUUCGGGUUGUAAACGCCUUUCAGCCAUGACGAAGCCUUCGGGUGACGGUAGUGGUAGAAGAAGCACCGGCUAACUACGU